ACACCGUGACAAAUAAGCCAGGUUUUGCCUGGCAUUCUGCAGAAGCAUUGCUGUAUCUUACCAGACAGGAAUACAGAUGAAGACCCCCAGGCCCAGGGAAUUCGAUCACUGGCUGAGAACUCACAGCUAAGGAGGGGGAGCCUGGGAUUCCUUCCUGGUGCUCACACCCGAGACCCUUUUGUCACUGUGUUCAAAGGCACUGCUGCACAGACGUGAUUCUUCUUUCAACGAACAUCUCCAGGACUUCCUCCGGGGUCUGUGACCUCAUCUAUAAUUAAAGGGAAAGAGAUCUUCCUGAGAUUAGCCCAUUUAACUUGUUUAACUAGAUGCAUGCUGCAAAAACUGUUUUCAAGAAAUGAACAAUUGACUAUUUAAAAAGAGCCAAGCCUUAAAAGAAGACCAGGUUUUAAUAGGGAAAACAUUCAGUAAAAUAUUAUUCUGCAGUAACUUGUGGAAUGACUGCUGUACACACAGCUCUGGGCUGGGUACCUGGAAGCUCACGAGCUUGUUUGGCCUCCCCUCCUGGACACAGGAGGUGUCAAGGCUGUGGUCAGCAGAAUCUACCCAGCUGGACACUGAGUGGACGCCCUGUGGGGUGGCUGUGAAAUGGGUCCACUUUGUAGUGGCAGCAUCCCUGAUAGUACUUCUGAAAGGGACAAGAUAGAAAAGCAAACCAAACUGAAACUGAGAAGUCGUGGAUGAUACCAGGGGCGCACAGUGGCUGACAGGAAGAGACUGCCUGGGGGGUCUCGGAGCCAGUGGCUGGAGUGGAGUUAGUUUGACCGAGUCCUGGACUAGGGAGGGGACCCCCAAAGCAUGCCCAGCAUGGCGCUAGUGGGGCCCAGGCACCCCAUGUCCCAACGACUAGAACCAAUAAUCAGGUUAACACUCAUUAAAUAAGAAGUGUCUGUGCCUCCUGGGAUAAAAAUCCUUUAUAACGAUCUGGGACGCGAGCUCAAGUCCCUGUUCCCUUGUCCUCCACAGCAGUGUGCAGCGUGGAACUCGGCGGUUCGGGGUCCCUGAGUCCCUGAGCCACUGUCUACCCCCUGCUCCAUCCCAAAUGCAGAGACCCCUGAGCACUCAUGUGGACAUGCCCCACCAUGCCCUGGCUGCUCCUUCAGGAUGGCGCAGGGCCACCGCUAUGGGAGGACUCUAAAGGGUGGGUCUCAAGCCCUCCUCUGCUUACCCUAAAUCAGGAGAGCAAACCGAAUGCACUGCCCUCUUCCUUCACUCCUGCAUCCCAUCCCCCGCUAUGGCCUCACUAUCAGGUCUGCUGUGUGCCAAAAUAUUUUACCAUGCCCUAAAAGUGAGAUGUUGGAAGUGGACAAGGAGGAAAUAUUUAUGAAUAUUUGAGUCUGUUAUUCUUUAUGUUAAGCAUUUUGGCUUCUGUUGUACUCCUAAAUCACUACUGAGAGCAGAGAAAGAGCUCUUUGUAGAAAUGAGAUGUGUUCCUGUGUGCUGCCUGUGACGCAUCCCGUUGUCACCGGAGUGCCGUGGCCCUAAGGAAUGACAGCAUUAAGGCAUGGACGUUAAAGAUGGACAAAAGAAUUGUUCACGGUGUUGUAUUUUAAAAUGACUAUGUGUAUGACAAUUAAACUAUUGUGUCUUCGUUUACUCCAUGUGUUCUGCCUGACAGCUGGG
Molecule: long non-coding RNA, 1641 nt
Filed under: Homo sapiens (human)
Lineage: Eukaryota; Metazoa; Chordata; Mammalia; Primates; Hominidae
Description: HSALNT0131931
Source: RNAcentral